ACGCUGGCGGCGUGCCUAAUACAUGCAAGUCGAACGAGAGCGACCGGUGCUUGCACUGGUCAAUCUAGUGGCGAACGGGUGAGUAACACGUGGGUAACCUGCCCAUCAGAGGGGGAUAACAUUCGGAAACGGAUGCUAAAACCGCAUAGGUCUUCGAACCGCAUGGUUUGAAGAGGAAAAGAGGCGCAAGCUUCUGCUGAUGGAUGGACCCGCGGUGCAUUAGUUAGUUGGUGAGGUAACGGCUCACCAAGGCCGUGAUGCAUAGCCGACCUGAGAGGGUGAUCGGCCACAUUGGGACUGAGACACGGCCCAAACUCCUACGGGAGGCAGCAGUAGGGAAUCUUCCGCAAUGGACGCAAGUCUGACGGAGCAACGCCGCGUGAGUGAAGAAGGUUUUCGGAUCGUAAAACUCUGUUGUUAGAGAAGAACAAGUGCUAGAGUAACUGUUAGCGCCUUGACGGUAUCUAACCAGAAAGCCACGGCUAACUACGUGCCAGCAGCCGCGGUAAUACGUAGGUGGCAAGCGUUGUCCGGAUUUAUUGGGCGUAAAGCGAGCGCAGGCGGUUCCUUAAGUCUGAUGUGAAAGCCCCCGGCUCAACCGGGGAGGGUCAUUGGAAACUGGGGAACUUGAGUGCAGAAGAGGAGAGUGGAAUUCCAUGUGUAGCGGUGAAAUGCGUAGAUAUAUGGAGGAACACCAGUGGCGAAGGCGACUCUCUGGUCUGUAACUGACGCUGAGGCUCGAAAGCGUGGGUAGCAAACAGGAUUAGAUACCCUGGUAGUCCACGCCGUAAACGAUGAGUGCUAAGUGUUGGAGGGUUUCCGCCCUUCAGUGCUGCAGUUAACGCAUUAAGCACUCCGCCUGGGGAGUACGACCGCAAGGUUGAAACUCAAAGGAAUUGACGGGGAC
This 907-nucleotide ribosomal RNA is filed under the name uncultured bacterium. RNAcentral's name for it is "bacterial SSU rRNA". It matches the Rfam family "Bacterial small subunit ribosomal RNA", at positions 33 to 920 of the family's 1533-position model. The record is from RNAcentral.